This 263-nucleotide ribosomal RNA is filed under the name uncultured Staphylococcus sp. RNAcentral describes it as "partial 16S ribosomal RNA". It matches the Rfam family "Bacterial small subunit ribosomal RNA", at positions 99 to 355 of the family's 1533-position model. The record is from RNAcentral. Lineage: Bacteria; Bacillati; Bacillota; Bacilli; Caryophanales; Staphylococcaceae.
CGGACGGGUGAGUAACACGUGGAUAACCUACCUAUAAGACUGGGAUAACUUCGGGAAACCGGAGCUAAUACCGGAUAAUAUAUUGAACCGCAUGGUUCAAUGGUGAAAGACGGUUUUGCUGUCACUUAUAGAUGGAUCCGCGCCGCAUUAGCUAGUUGGUAAGGUAACGGCUUACCAAGGCAACGAUGCGUAGCCGACCUGAGAGGGUGAUCGGCCACACUGGAACUGAGACACGGUCCAGACUCCUACGGGAGGCAGCAGCU